RNAcentral lists this ribosomal RNA (252 nucleotides) under uncultured bacterium. RNAcentral describes it as "partial 16S ribosomal RNA". It matches the Rfam family "Bacterial small subunit ribosomal RNA", at positions 57 to 305 of the family's 1533-position model. The record is from RNAcentral.
GCAAGUCGAGGGGUAACAGGAGAGCUUGCUCUCGCUGACGACCGGCGCACGGGUGAGUAACACGUAUGCAACCUGCCUUUAACUGGAGCAUAGCUCCGAGAAAUCAAAAUUAAUACUCCAUAAUAUCUAUUUAUCGCAUAAUAGUUAGAUUAAAGCUUCGGCGGUUAAAGAUGGGCAUGCGGAACAUUAGCUUGUUGGUUGAGGUAACGGCUCACCAAGGCUACGAUGUUUAUGGGGUCUUAAAGGAUGGUC